CGAGUUAUAUAGUGUGUGUUUAGAUCUGAUUCGGAACAACCAUAUGUGUAACAGCCCGAUCCCCCGGAGUCCGACCGGGGUUAUCGAAGGGGCGUUAUGGACACGUGUCUACUCAUCUAGACAACCCUACGUGUCCCGUUACUGGUCCCGAGAGACGAGCGCAUAACCUUCUUUGAAAUACCGUCAUACCCACAUCCCUAUACUUCUACUUACAGUCCUGCGCACAGGAAAAAUGGAAAUGGAGGGGUGAGCAACAAGUUACUCAGUGAAGUGGUUCUAGACCAGCCUGCCCGCAUGACACUCUAUACUACUCCAUGCGGGAACUAGGACUGACUAGCCACUACAAUCAGUUAAUGCAUUUUCAUCAUUUCCUAAUGUUAUCUGCAAUUUCCACAAUCACUUCCAUUCAUUUCUAACAACCUAGCGAUCAAUCAAUACAAUGAUCUCACUCAUUGCCACACACGUCAAACCCUAGACUUAACCGACUCCUCUUGUCCGCCCGACCCGACCCUAUGACACCUUUAACUCCCCGUUACCCGACCAUGAGCUAAAACCCUACAAUGCACAUCCUUUUCAACUUUUCAUCUUUUCCUCUUUUCCUCUUUUCCUCUUUUCCUCAGUGGGUAGCCCCCCACUAGGCUUCUACCCCAUAUUCAUGUGGAUUCGCCACAUCUCCUAUGGGUGCUUCCAUAUUCAUGUGGAUUCGCCACAUCUCCUAUGGAUACCUAGCGUGGACUACUUACCCCACCUACAAACCUUAGACUCUCUAUAUGCUUUCCCACCCAUGCUUAACCUUAACAUCCUUCUUUCAUACUUUUACUUAUCAUUUCACUUCCUUAUCGUUUUCACUUAAUCCUCCCCAUUCCCAAUUACUUUCCCUUUUCAUUCAUACUUGAACUUGGACUAAAUCACUAGACGCCACCCGUUAUCGGUGUCACACACAAUACACAUCGCAUUCAAGUUCUACUUCAAUAACGUUUAUAAUCAUUGCUCAUCUAUCAUCCUAGCAUUUGUUCCUCUCUAGCAUCCUAACUUCAAUCACAACAACACAUGGGACAACACAACCAAACAUACAAGUAUCAACUACCAAUCAAUCAUUACCACGACAAUUCAAUUCAGUUCAUCAAGUCCCAUUUAUCAGUAUGAGGGUUCUUAUGCAUCAUGAUUCAUUCAUCUAUCAUCCUAGCAAUACCAUGUCCUAUCAACCUAACUCCCAAUCAGGGUCUAAUCAAGCCUAACUCCAACAUAAAGGAGUAUACAGAACCAUGAAAGAAGGUUGGGUUCGAAACACUCCACCUUAGCCUAGAUCUGGAUCUGGAAACAAGGAUGAAGAGAUCUGAACAGAUCUGGAACAACUAAACAAGAGAGAGACGAGAUCUGGUCACCACCACCACGGCUGCAACCACCACCACCAUCACCACAUGGCACCGGCGAGGAGGAGGGAGAGAGGAGAGAAAGAGAGGCGUGAGAGAAGAAGAGGGAAGAGGGAAAAGAGAAGCUUGACGGCUAGGGUUUCCAAGUCUCUCUAAAUCUCUGCAGAGCUUCGCUCAAGUUUCAGAAAAUGAGAGAAAAGAAUGGGCUGCAUCUCUUUAUAAAGGAAAGGGUGAAGGGAACCCUAGGUUUUUUGUGAAAUGGGCCGUAGAGAAGCCCAUUCUUUUAUGAAAAUUUUUGGGCCAGGAACCGGGCCGUUACAAUUCUCCCCCACUUGAAUGGAAUUCGUCCCCGAAUUCUAUAUGUCGAUACUCCAACUCUAACAUCCUGAACCCGAAUGGGUAAACAACUCGUCCUUUGAAAUCUAAUGGUUCAUGCAACAGACCAGGUUCCAUAUUCCUCACGGAGAUCCAACGUCCUCUUAAUUCCCAAAUCGAUUCUCCAUCAGCGUUCUCAUCCCUAGAUUGUUUUCAUCUCAUAUGCAUUUCCACAUCACCACCACUCUUGUCGACGUAAUUCUCUGAUGGUCAUGUACCUCUUCUAUCCUUUCGUACAGCAGCUCAUCAUCAACAAUUAUAUCUGCUAAGCGGUUUCUUGGAUCAUCUCAGGCUCGAGAUUCUGAUCUCCCCCACUUUGGUCCUACAUAAGGGAUUCAACAUGGUUGUUCAUACAAUCCUCAUAGGGGAUAUCCAUUUGCUUGAGUCAUAGCUAAUGUCUUGCAUGGAUUCAACUAAUAUCUGAUCCAUUAACCAACUUCCUCUCUAAGCUCCACACACAUGUACAUCACAUAGGUUGAUUGCCAUGUCCUUGGCGACCCAACAACAAAAAUAUAUUGUUAUCAUAUUCCAUUUCCAUUUUGACACAUAAAACUCUUGCAUCAAUCAUAUACGGCCUCACAUCCCACUAUUCUCAACUAACAAGUCUUAGUUGCAAAGCUCCAUUAAAACCCUCUUGGCAGUUCCUCUUCGAAUCCGGAUAAAUCUGUUUGCUGCCCACUACAAUGGCCAUUGCGACCGAUAAACUUGUCCCAUGAUCUCUUCCUUCACCGUUGUGUGGUACCCAACCACAUCUCCGUUGAUUAACUUAGCGAGCACUUCAUCUCAUGAAACUUAACGAGCUACUCCACACCGAACAUAUCCUCGUCCUCUGAGUCCUUCGGUCUGGCCAUGUUUUCCUUGAUGAACGAACCUCCUAUCAUAGCCCUACUAGUUGUACUGGUUAUACUGGUAGUACGCUCCCAUCCAUUAUCACCUAGUGUGGUUCUUCUCGCACUUCCACUCUUGUCACAACGAAACCGCCUUGUGUUAAUGACGAUGUCGCAAGUUCUCCUUGGGCUCUGAGUAUGUGAUGCUUGGUUAGCCUAUGAUCUUCUUACACCAAACAAUAGCUCUGCACCCUUUUAGAUUAGUUCAUGAUCCCAGUAAUCUUGCACGUUACAACUAUUCUUCAGAUCGGUUCUCAUUUCCUUCAGGAAGCUGUGAAUCAGUUCUCGCCCCCCUUAGAGAGUGCCUGACAAUCUCCUCAGGGGUUAUAUCUUUAUUGUAUUCCCUUACAAUCAUGUCUCUCGGGCAGAUAUCCUAGAACUAACCCUCCAUUAGAUAUAUGUCAUUCUUCGGGAAAUACUUUCAUUGACCUAUGGCCUCAACUUGUUUCACUGCACCUCUAAUGUUCCUCUAAACUCAUGAUAUCCGCCACAACCUUCACGCUCUCGGUAGUUACAUUAGUCGGGUUUCCAUCUCUGGCUUUCCUCCAACCACUCCAACUCAUGUGUCUGGCGAUGGAACUUCAUCAAUGGACGUCACCGAUGGGGUACCACCUUUCUCUUUAUGAUGCGCUGAGUCCGAGUGUAGUUCGGGUUCCACCAUGCAGGUCCACGAUACCCGUAAUUGUCACUCUGGUCGAUACUGGUUGUCGAAGACAUCCUUCAAGUAGACAUCCGAUCAGAACCAUAAUAGAAGUAUAGAUAUAGUGGGUGGUUUUGAAAUCGUUCAUAACUUUCAGAAAAAUCACAACUUUCAGAAAAAUCAAAACUUUUCACACACUCUUUUCUUUUAGUUAAAACAAUUCUCUCUUUUCUUUUUUUUUUUUUUUUUUUUUUUUAAACGUCGGAAAUGCCGAUCCCUUAGGACAGAACUAAGGGAUCUUAACCUGGCUCUGAUACCAAUUGUAACAGCCCGAUCCCCCGGAGUCCGACCGGGGUUAUCGAAGGGGCGUUAUGGACACGUGUCUACUCAUCUAGACAACCCUACGUGUCCCGUUACUGGUCCCGAGAGACGAGCGCAUAACCUUCUUUGAAAUACCGUCAUACCCACAUCCCUAUACUUCUACUUACAGUCCUGCGCACAGGAAAAAUGGAAAUGGAGGGGUGAGCAACAAGUUACUCAGUGAAGUGGUUCUAGACCAGCCUGCCCGCAUGACACUCUAUACUACUCCAUGCGGGAACUAGGACUGACUAGCCACUACAAUCAGUUAAUGCAUUUUCAUCAUUUCCUAAUGUUAUCUGCAAUUUCCACAAUCACUUCCAUUCAUUUCUAACAACCUAGCGAUCAAUCAAUACAAUGAUCUCACUCAUUGCCACACACGUCAAACCCUAGACUUAACCGACUCCUCUUGUCCGCCCGACCCGACCCUAUGACACCUUUAACUCCCCGUUACCCGACCAUGAGCUAAAACCCUACAAUGCACAUCCUUUUCAACUUUUCAUCUUU
Molecule: long non-coding RNA, 4139 nt
Filed under: Brassica rapa (field mustard)
Lineage: Eukaryota; Viridiplantae; Streptophyta; Magnoliopsida; Brassicales; Brassicaceae
Description: long non-coding RNA (BRAP_LNC007843)
Source: RNAcentral